This is a non-coding RNA of Monodelphis domestica (gray short-tailed opossum), 430 nucleotides long. NCBI's taxonomy places the organism in Eukaryota, Metazoa, Chordata, Mammalia, Didelphimorphia, Didelphidae. The record is from RefSeq and is a predicted model, not a curated record.
AUGCUUGGGAAGGGCAGAUGGGGAUAGCUCAGGAGAAGGAAAUAGGGAGGAUCAAUUUUACUGUGUUGGGAAAGAAACUAACUCUGCUCUGGGCAAAGGAAUCUGCAUUUAGGGCUCCUAUUAAUAUCAGAAAUAAGGCCAUCAAUCUCCAUGAACAUCCGCAGAGCAGCAGUGAUCAUGGCAUCAACAUCAAGGGAAAAGUCAUCAAAAUGUAUGUCAUCAAUGGCAAGCUCUGAGACCAAAGGGAUGUUGGCUGCCUAGAAAAAAAGGAGACAUAAGUCAAGGCAAGUUCCACAGACAUCCCAAGCUCAGUGUCUUGCUCUCAUCCAGGGCUUAUCUGAAGUGUCACAUAAAUCAAGCCUGACCUGCACUUACACCCUGAUACAGCUAAACUCUAAGCAGUAAAUGUCUUUUGUUUUUGAACUGCAAA